This 641-nucleotide ribosomal RNA is filed under the name Helicoverpa zea (corn earworm). RNAcentral's name for it is "SSU rRNA". It matches the Rfam family "Eukaryotic small subunit ribosomal RNA", at positions 565 to 1163 of the family's 1831-position model. The record is from RNAcentral. Lineage: Eukaryota; Metazoa; Arthropoda; Insecta; Lepidoptera; Noctuidae.
GGCCAGCAGCCGCGGUAAUUCCAGCUCCAAUAGCGUAUACUAAAAUUGUUGCGGUUAAAAAGCUCGUAGUUGCAUUUGUGCGCCGCGCUGUCGGUGCACCGCAUCCGCGGUGAUACUGACACGUCUGCGGAGCAUAUCGUCGGUGAGCCGGCGGUAAUACGCCGGUUCAAUAUCAAAAUCCUAUCGCGGUGCUCUUCGGUGAGUGUCGAGGUGGGCCGACAAUUUUACUUUGAACAAAUUAGAGUGCUCAAAGCGGGCUCAAAAUGCUGCUUGAAUAUUUCGUGCAUGGAAUAAUAGAAUAUGAUCUCGGUUCUAUUUUGUUGGUUUUCAGAACUCCGAGGUAAUGAUUAAUAGGGAUAACUGGGGGCAUUCGUAUUGCGACGUUAGAGGUGAAAUUCUUGGAUCGUCGCAAGACGAACAUCAGCGAAAGCAUUUGCCAAAGGUGUUUUCAUCAAUCAAGAACGAAAGUUAGAGGUUCGAAGGCGAUUAGAUACCGCCCUAGUUCUAACCGUAAAUAUGUCAUCUAGCGAUCCGCCGACGUUACUACAAUGGCUCGGCGGGCAGCUUCCGGGAAACCAAAGAUUUUGGACUCCGGGGGGAGUAUGGUUGCAAAGCUGAAACUUAAAGGAUNGAACGGAAGA